Non-coding RNA from Beta vulgaris subsp. vulgaris (sugar beet), 118 nucleotides. Lineage: Eukaryota; Viridiplantae; Streptophyta; Magnoliopsida; Caryophyllales; Amaranthaceae. The record is from Rfam.
GUAUCCCAUAGAAAGGUUGGUUCACUAGGGGAAAAAAACAGAAGGGCUGCGCUUUUGAUAAAAGCGCAGCCCUAUGUUUGAAGGGCUGCGCUUUUUUGAAAAAGCGCAGCCCUACAAA